GACGAACGCUGGCGGCGCGCUUAACACAUGCAAGUCGAACAGAAAGGCCUGCUUUCCCUUGUGGAUUGCGGGUACUCGAGUGGCGAACGGGUGAGUAACACGUGAGUGAUCUGCCCCCAACUUGGGUAUAAGCCUGGGAAACUGGGUCUAAUUCCCGAUAGGACUGCAGGGUGGUGCCUGUGGUGGAAAACGAUUUUCUAGUGGUUGGGGAUGAGCUCGCGGCCUAUCAGCUUGUUGGUGGGGUAAUGGCCUACCAAGGCGGCGACGGGUGGCCGGCCUGAGAGGGUGGACGGCCACAUUGGGACUGAGAUACGGCCCAGACUCCUACGGGAGGCAGCAGUGGGGAAUAUUGCACAAUGGGCGGAAGCCUGAUGCAGCGACGCCGCGUGGGGGAUGACGGCCUUCGGGUUGUAAACUCCUUUCGACCGCGAGGAAGCCACCUGGUUGGAAGGGUGGUGACGGUAGUGGUAGAAGAAGCACCGGCUAACUACGUG
RNAcentral lists this ribosomal RNA (494 nucleotides) under uncultured bacterium. Its description in RNAcentral is "partial 16S ribosomal RNA". It matches the Rfam family "Bacterial small subunit ribosomal RNA", at positions 28 to 507 of the family's 1533-position model. The record is from RNAcentral.